RNAcentral lists this unclassified non-coding RNA (206 nucleotides) under soil metagenome. Its description in RNAcentral is "partial contains 5.8S ribosomal RNA, internal transcribed spacer 2, and large subunit ribosomal RNA". The record is from RNAcentral.
AACAUCGCGCACCUGCGGGAACCUGCGGAAGGAUCAUUAUCGAGUUGCAAAACUCCAACCCUUUGUGAACAUACCUCAGUCGUUGCUUCGGCGGUGGACGGCCUGUUUUUCGGAACGGCCGGAAGCCGCCGGAGGUUCCAAACUCGUAUUUUUUAGUGUAUCUCUGAGCCUGAAAACAAAUAAUCAAAACUUUCAGCAAUGGAUCU